This 1065-nucleotide long non-coding RNA is filed under the name Malus domestica (apple). RNAcentral describes it as "long non-coding RNA (MDOM_LNC014279)". The record is from RNAcentral. Lineage: Eukaryota; Viridiplantae; Streptophyta; Magnoliopsida; Rosales; Rosaceae.
ACUGUUAGUUCACAUUUCAUAUGCAUUUAUAGCAUUCAUAUUUUGUGUCUUUGUGAUGUUUUUGAUCAAACUUGUUGCAUUUUACAUUAUUUGGUGUUAGUGUGUAGUUAAGUUUGUUUUAGGAUCAAUUGGAAGGCAAUGAAGCAAAAACACCACAUUUUGUGACCGAGAGCUAGUUCAAGCAUGGAGAACAUCUUGUGAGUUAACUUGAAGUCCAAGUGAAGAAUUGAGGACAAGUUGGUUGCUAGAAUUUCAGGAAUUGACAAAGGGUGCAAUUCGGCCAGAUUGGGUGAUUUUAUGCAUGGCACAUGCAUUGGAUUCAGAUUGGGAGGUUUAACACACCUUGCCAUGCAUUUGGUUACCCUUUCAACCCCCUUUCUUCACCUAGAACAUUCACCCCCCCCAUUAGUUACACCAUUCAGCCACAUUUCACCCACUAAUUCACCCAUGCCGUGCAUUGUUAAUCCUUGACAGCCUGUCCUUGCAGAUUUCACAUGCUCCUCCAUUUAAAUGACCACAUGCUUGCCCAUUCAACCCCAUGCCGUGCACUAUCCAUUUCAGAAAGGAAUUACCCCAUCAUUACACACACUAGCACUCCAUAUUUUACAAUUGUUAAGAUCCAAUCUUGGAUCUGAAUCCAAAAGCUAUUCCAUCCAUUCCCUUUAAGUGAGCUCCUUCAAGAAAUCUGAAACUCUCGGAAUUCCAUCUUCAAUUGGACACCAACUCUACAUUCCAUUAUAUACACUACAUUCCAUAACCUACAUUCUAUCUAUCCCACUCCAGAUUCGACAUUCCUUACACAUUCAUUCUAUUCUUCUUACACACAACCUCUCCAUUUUCUGUCCAUCCUCUUCACCAUAUUACACCAACCAUUUCACCACAACCGUACCACCUUCAUUUAUACAUCAUUCUUGGAGGAGUUACACCACACUUGGAGAGCUAACACCGAAGGCCAUUCUCAAGUGAUCUUCGAUUCCAGUUUUGCUUCAAGGGGUUUUUCUUCUCAAUUUUAUGUACACUCAUGUGUUAUAUUUAUAUGUCAAAUCUUUGUAAACAUGAAGUGUA